This 6038-nucleotide long non-coding RNA is filed under the name Sus scrofa (pig). RNAcentral's name for it is "lncRNA (ENSSSCG00055015053.1)". Lineage: Eukaryota; Metazoa; Chordata; Mammalia; Artiodactyla; Suidae. The record is from RNAcentral.
GGCCACACCUGUGGCAUAUGGAUGUUCCCAGGCUAGGGGUCUAAUCAGAGCUGCAGCUGCCAGCCUACACCACAGCCACAGCAAUGCCAGAUCCAAACUGUGUCUGCGAUCUACACCACAGCUCUCGGCAACGCCAGAUCCUUAACCCACUGAACAAGGCCAGGGAUCGAACCCGUGUCCUCAUGGAUACUAGUCAGACUCAUUACCCACUGAGCCACGAUGGGAACUCCUUGGUCUCUACUUUUAAAAUUAUCUUUUUAGAUUAUUCUCUGACCACAAUGAGGUCAUAUUGAGCAAAAAUACUAUGCCUUUCUGAGUUGUGCAUUCACCAUGAUCUGUGGGUAUCAGAACCCAAUUCAUAAGUAAUUUUAGUCCCAUUUCACAGAGAAGAAGACUGAGCAAACCAAUGCGGGUAACUCACCCAAGGUCAUGCCACAACCUGUCUGCAGGGAUUGACUACCGUUUGUAUCUCUCACAAACCCCUUUCCCUCCCACUUCCCUCAUAUACAUAUGACUUCAUUAGCCUUUCAAGAAGGAGUGAGUGGAACAGCAGGUAAAACCCCAAUCACUCUGUUUGGCUCUUAGUCAGUGUGUCUGGUAAGAAAUCACUGGUGGAGGAGGAGACUCCGCAAAUGGCUUUCCAUUCCUCCACGCUGUUGCCCUCCAUCAUCUGCGUGGUUAAUUGCAACCUUGCUCUUAGAGAACUGCUGGCCACCACUAAGGCUGCUGCUCCACUGAGUGCAUAUCCAUCAUCAAAGCUGCUUAAGAGUUGGCGUGGGUAGGGAGCACACCCAGAUGUGAUAAAGCAGGGUCGAGCCACAGACUCAUUCAGCCAGGGGACAAGCCGUGCGCCAUGCUUCCUGUCUCCCUCCUUUGCAGAGAUGUGGCAGGGAGUGUAAUAAAAAGUAAUGAUGUGGAAGAAAGCAUGCUGUUGCCUUCCAAGGGUCAAGUCAGUACAAUUUGUGCAAGGUCCUGACAUUUUCACUCUUUUUCAGGACAGAAAUACUGAACUAAAAGAAUACCAUGUCAAAGGGGGGAAAGAAAGACAGAGACCAGGGUCACUUCAAACACUUUAAAAUAGAUCUCGGACAAAGCAUCCCAAUAUAUCAUGAGGAUUGCCUUACAGAGCAGGAAAGGAAGUUUGUAGGCACUGCCGCAGAGCUCUACCUCUCUGAGUGACCAUGGAUUUGCUCUUCUUCAUGACUGUGGGCCAUUCUCGUGAGCAGCUAUACAUCACCUCUCACUUUUACAAAAGCCAUUUUCUAAUGGGGCAGGUGGGUUCUUGCUAAUUCUGAUAAAGAGACCUAUUACUUCAUGAAGUGAUCCAAAGGACCGAAUCUGUGUUUUCAGAAGGAGAAAAGGCAUAGGCCCACGUGGGAACACAGACUAUAGGUAAAGAUGGCAAUUUGUAAAAACAUGUUCAGAGUUUCCAAAUGUCUGAUGUUUCCCUGAGAUAGAGUGGAACUUUGCAUCCUCCAAGUUGCAAUAAUUAUUGCUGGGACCUCCUUGGAUAGAAAAAGGGUCUUUUAAAGUCUUGACUGCAGGGUUUAUUUAGAUAUUAUCACACAGCUGGUGACCUAAGAGCCAAUAGAACAUGCUAUUUGCAACCUUAGAAAAUAAUCUCUUCAUUUGUUUCCAUAACUACACAGACACCUACUUUAUAAGGUUAUUGGCAGGAUUUCAUAGGUCACAAGUGUCUAACAUGUGGAUAGAAUUAUGUAUUGGAAGGGGGGUGCCCUUCGUGGCUCAGUGGUUAACAAACCUGACUAGUAUCCAUGAGGACGCAGGUUCAAUCCCUGGCCUCAUUCAGUGGGUAAAGGAGCCAUCGUUGUUGUGAGCUGUGGUUUAUGUCACAGACACAGCUCAGAUCCAGCAUUGCUGUGACUGUGGGCAUGGGCUGGGGACUGCAGCACCGAUUCGUCCCCUAGCCUGGGAACUUCCAAAUGUCUCAGGUGCUGCCCUAAAAAGAAAAAAAAAAAAAAGUUACAGCUUUAGGCAUUUUCAUUUGAGGAGUACAAAGCACCCUUACCCACACCAAAAACCUCCCUAAUUGGAAUUGUCAUUAUCAGUGAUUAUGUUAAUACUCUACAUUUGCUUAGUGACUUCAGGUUUAUAAAGCCCUCAUUGUAUUUACCGAAGUAUAGUUGAUUUACAAUGGUGUGUGAAUUCCUGCUGUACACCAAGGUUAUACAAGUAUGUACAUUCAUUUUUAUAUUCUUUUCCAUUACGGUUUAUCAGAGGAUAUUGAAUUUAGUUCCCUGUGCUAUACAGUAGGACCUUGCUGUUUAUCCAUUCUAUACAUCAUCGUUUGCAUCUGCUAACCCCAAACUCCCAAUCCAUCCCUUCCCUACCUCUCUCCCCCUGGGCAACCGCAAGUCUGUUCUCUACAUCUGUGAGUCUGUUUCAUAAAUAAGUUUCAUUUGGGUGAUAUUUUAGAUUCUACAUAUAACUGAUAUCACAUGAUAUUACAAAGCCUUCGUUUUAAUCAUAUUUAACCCACUCUAAAAUUCUGUGAAGCUACCUAAUAUGAUACUACUAGGUAAAAGUCUCCAGUCUUUUAAAUUAAGAUAUACGUUUCUAAAAGCCUCCUUUUAAAAUUUUCAGUAAGGUCAACACCGGUGGGAAUUUACUACGACUAUAAAGGCAGCACAUUAUGAUCAAGAUUUUUUUUCUUACUUUUUACCACUUUUUUAUGAUCAAGAUUUAUUUCUCUUUUUGCCAUGCUUCUGUUCAUCCUAUAAAAGAAACGAAACUGAGAUUGUUUUUUAAUCCCAUAGGGAACAUUGCAAGGGUAAUGAUCUUGGAAUAGCACAGUCUUAUUUUUAGCAAUGAACAUUAUGUUUUUAGGUGAAGAUGUAUUGCAUUCACUCAUUCAGCAAAUAACUUGUUGAGCACCCAUGCCAGGCACUUUGCCAGGCAGUAGAGACACACUGGUCAGCAUUUUUGUCCAAAUAUCUACAAUAUAGUGAGUCAUCCUACUAAACCAAACAGAAAAAGAAAGUUAGGACAAAGAAGGUUGGACUGUUUUAAAGACAUUCAAAAUAAUCCCAAUCAGCAGCAUCUAGUGAUAAAUGAGGCAGUUCAGCAGAAGGAGAGGAAGCACAAAGUGUUACCACAAUAGGUAUAUAAAGAUGCAUUUUGGACAGUUAUGGCAAUUAAAGCAUUUGAAAUAAAAUGCUAGGGAUGUAGGAGGAGAACAUGAGGAAAGAAAAUGUCUUGAUGUUUUCUAGUCUUCACCCACCCCCAAAGGGCCCACCCCCCUCCCCCGGCCCAACCCCUCAACCCAGCCAUCUGAUCCUUGUCCCAAUAAUCAUCAUUCACUGGCCUUCUGACUUCGCAUCAGAUGAACACGUUCAAUCAGUUCUCUCCAUCCUGGUCAAUCGCACGGAACAUAGGCAGUAUGAGCACCCUUGGGAGAGAACGAUCUGCCAAGGUCACAGGAGCCCUAAAGGUCUGUGGCCAGCACAUCCAUCCUCAGAUCCUGAUCCUUUUGACUUCUCACUUAGCCAGAAAGCUAGGGAGUGACCAUAUCCUGUACCUUCCAAGGUCAUUCUACCUGUUGGACUUGGGAAUUAAUGCCAGUCACCCAGAAACUGCCAAUUCACCUUCCUCAGAAGGGCUCUCAGUUCUGAACUUCCUGAACUACCUUAGGCCCAGAAGCAUUUUUAUAAAUAUUAUUUAUAUCUCAUUCCCUUUAUUUAGGGGGGAACUGGGGAAGGGAGCUUGAGCUUUGGAUCAAAUCCAGGACAGGCCACUUAUUAGCCUUCUAAGCUUAUUCACCCAGCUGAGCCUUGAUCUGCUCAUUUAUAAGGCAGAGAAAACGCUGCUGACCACCUGCUAUGUCCCAGGUACAUCCUCCCUGCCAUAUUUGUACUGAGGGAUUGACCUGUGUCCUUCGCAAGUGAUGUUUUUGCAUUUAUCUGGGGAAAGACGGAAGCACACAGGAGUGACUGUCAUGGUGAGAGGAUAGGGAACUUGUGAACAGUCAUCAAAUUGCUCCUGGAGGGGGCCGCCUGUUCUAAUUCUGAGCCGCUAAGCCCAGCUAGCUCCAGCAUCAGCCCCAAAGCCCAGAGGAAAUAGCCAGGAUCAAGUCUAAAAUUGCUCUUUCUUUCACGUCUCUCCCAACAUGCCCAGCCUCGGAGAGGGAACUUCACCACGUCUCCCUCUGAUCCUGCCCUUCCAUGGCUCAUGAGACAUGUUUCUUUUCUCCUCUCCAUUCCUAAGACUUUCUCAUACGCCAUCAUCUGUCACAGGAAUGUUAACAGCUCAGAGUAAACCAGCUUUAAUUCUAAGGAUUAUUUUCCUCUAUCGGCUUGAAAAAAAAAAAAAAAAGGAAAAAGGCAGGGAAAAUUCUGCUGUCUCUCCUUCAAGAAGGGUAAAUACUAGGGGCACGAAGAGACAGUGUGGGAGACCUUGGGACAAUUGGCUGCAAAGAUCUGCAAGCUCAGGUUCACAUUAGUGUCCAAAUGUUAAAUAAACAAACAGAUGGCUUGUCUCGUGGAUGUUGAUUCAUUUCUCAGCUCUGCAUUGGCCGUGUUUGAAAAGAACUGCCACUGACAGCUGAGUAUAUGCCAUGCUCCUUCCCACAGAGGCCUGCAGUCCGCUCACCUCGGUCAGGCACUCCAACCCAGUUCUUCAAAGAUGCAGUGGGAGUGGGUGGCCUCUUCUCAAAAUUUCCGCGGUCUAACAGAUACUGCCUGUUUAUCCACAGUAAGACUGCACUAGCUGCCAGCACAUCAAACCUCUUCACUUUGGCCUGAAAUGCAUAUUAACCCAGGCUGGCUGUGUUUGUCAUUUCCAAGUAGCUAGAAACCUAACUUAGCAACAGGGGUCUCUGAUUAAUACCAAACAGGCAAGGCUUUAUUUGAUUAAAUAAAGCUAAUUUGUUGGAUAGGUGGAAAUCUCUCAAAUAUAGGCUGGAGACAGGAGGUGAGCUUGGCGGAGAGACAAAUGGAAAUAGUCUUUCGUGACUUUACGAUAGAGCAUUUCAGCUCUCCUACAUUCAGGCAGUAAAACGUACCUUCAGAAAACCCUAGAGGGAAAGCACUAGUGCCUUCCUAAGGGGGAAGAGUGAAGUUAAUGGUCCAAACUACCACCCUCCUGCAUGCCUGAAAAGGUCAAAUUGUGGCUUCAUCUAAGGCUGGGCAGGCUUCCAAUCAGGCUGCUGAAAGGAUGAAAUUCUGCUUUUUCUAGAAGAAAGAGGACGAAGAAAGGAAUAGCGUCAGUGGGGAAUUUCAUUCCUGGCAGGCCACGAAGUGUUAAAUCCCCUCUUGGUUCCUCCGCCUCAUAUUUGUUUCCUGCAUCUUGUUGAUGGAGCCAGAAGGAGCAGAAGCAGAAACAGCAGGCAGUUACCAGCUGGUGCUGAGGUGGCGUGAGCCCUUCCCAACACAAGGUGGCAGCACGAGGCCGCGUUUGAAGCAAAGGCCCGCCCUGAGGGCGGCCCUCCCCCACCCCCACCCCAAGAGGUUUAGAUUCCCCUUGAAUUUUAACCAAUGGUACUACAUCCUUUGUCUUCAGAAGGACAGAAAUAGAUUUCUUCCUCCCCUCUAAUUGAUUUUAAGUUUCCUUUUGUUCAAGCUCUGCUAAAAAGAAGAGAGAGUCCUAUUUCAAGGGUUGACCUGCUUGAAACUCCUAUUAAGUGGGCCAAAUAAUUAUACCCCAAAGACAAGCCUGUGCUCUGAAAACCACUCAGCAUUCUCAGGAGCGAUGUCUGUGUUCCGUUCACCCGCUGACGGGCCGCCAGGGAACAAGCAUCUCCCUUGGGGAGGUUUUAGCUUCCUAGUCCAAACCAAAUUGUUUGUUGAACAAGAAUCACCUGCUUCUACCUUCCUCGCAGAACUUGGUGUAUUUUAAAAGGUGAUAAAUUUGCCCUUUAGCUUCAAGGUCCUAGAACUAUAUACUCAAUUACCUUUUUUUAAGUAACAUCCUUUAAUGAAGAUACACAGCCUCAAAUGUGUAUUUGGUUAUUUAUUCAAUAAAUAAACAGUAUUAUUUACUGUUUUCAUGGCCUUCCUUUCAUACUAACUCCCUGUGGCUUA